UAAACUUAAUACGAUUCACCUAUUUUUUCCAUUAUCGAGAGCUGUCUUAGAUCCUACGAAGGUAGAGUUUUAAGCUUCUCAUUUAAUUGAGAAACAUAUCACCCUUAUCAAGUUUGUUGUGGAUUCAGAAGGGAAGCAACAGUGAUGAUCUCCGUGAGUCGCUAUCACCCGGCUGCUCUGAAGGUGGCAUUAUGAUGUGGAUGAUCCUCUCGUGCCCAUGCCCCUGCAGUUUAGACAAUGCAAUGGAAUUGACAUGGUGUGAUGGUUUACUUCUGCCAAUUUGGAGGACAGAAGUAUGAUACUGCAUGACUUGGUUGUUUAAUACUCUGAAUUUAGUACUCAUGACUCAAAUGGAUUUGCCCUGAUGGCACAUGGCGUCCAUCUGCAGAAUCAGUUGAUAAUGAAGGCAGGCAAUACGCACGCGUCGAGGAAGCAAACUCUACCAUCCUAGGUGUACAAAUUUCUCCAUCGCAAUUCAUAAAUUCUCACAAGAGAUUUUCACCGGUUUCC
RNAcentral lists this long non-coding RNA (510 nucleotides) under Physcomitrium patens. RNAcentral describes it as "long non-coding RNA (PPAT_LNC012402)". Lineage: Eukaryota; Viridiplantae; Streptophyta; Bryopsida; Funariales; Funariaceae. The record is from RNAcentral.